Molecule: long non-coding RNA, 354 nt
Filed under: Homo sapiens (human)
Lineage: Eukaryota; Metazoa; Chordata; Mammalia; Primates; Hominidae
Description: HSALNT0030917
Source: RNAcentral
CUGGUGACGACAUAAAGGGUCUUCCUUGUGCAUAGGUUUACCAAGAAAGGCUUCACAAAGACACAGGAUGAGUCAAGAAUGAAUGAUAGGGGUUUAACAGGCCGAUGGGGAAAGUGGACAUGACUCCUCCAGCUAUCAAAUUAGACGAUGCUGCCAUGUUAAUUCUCCAAACGAGAAACAAAAGUGUAAUAGAGGAUGUGAUGCUUGCAGCUAUGACAGCCAUUUGUGACCAUGAAGGGACCAAACUAGAGGACAAAGAGCAAGUCACUAUGCAUGAAAGAGUGAAAAUGUGGAAAGGACCUUCACCAUUGAUGAUACUGUCAAGCUAUUGAAUUAAACAACCUUGGAACCACU